RNAcentral lists this ribosomal RNA (346 nucleotides) under uncultured bacterium. RNAcentral describes it as "bacterial SSU rRNA". It matches the Rfam family "Bacterial small subunit ribosomal RNA", at positions 74 to 422 of the family's 1533-position model. The record is from RNAcentral.
GAGUAGCAAUACUUGAGACCGGCGCACGGGUGCGUAACGCGUAUGCAAUCUACCUUUUACAGGGGAAUAGCCCAGAGAAAUUUGGAUUAAUGCCCCAUGGUAUAAUCGAAUGGCAUCAUUUGAUUAUUAAAGUUCCAACGGUAAAAGAUGAGCAUGCGUCCUAUUAGCUAGAUGGUAAGGUAACGGCUUACCAUGGCAACGAUAGGUAGGGGUCCUGAGAGGGAGAUCCCCCACACUGGUACUGAGACACGGACCAGACUCCUACGGGAGGCAGCAGUGAGGAAUAUUGGACAAUGGGCGCAAGCCUGAUCCAGCCAUGCCGCGUGCAGGAAGAAGCAUCUAUGGU